UACGUAGGGUGCGAGCGUUAAUCGGAAUUACUGGGCGUAAAGCGUGCGCAGGCGGUUUUGUAAGACAGGCGUGAAAUCCCCGGGCUUAACCUGGGAACUGCACUUGUGACUGCACGGCUGGAGUGCGGCAGAGGGGGGAUGGAAUUCCGCGUGUAGCAGUGAAAUGCGUAGAUAUGUGGAGGAACGCCAAUGGCGAAGGCAGCCCCCUGGGCCGAUACUGACGCUCAUGCACGAAAGCGUGGGGAGCAAACAGGAUUAGAAACCCCGGUAGU
This 272-nucleotide ribosomal RNA is filed under the name uncultured bacterium. Its description in RNAcentral is "partial 16S ribosomal RNA". It matches the Rfam family "Bacterial small subunit ribosomal RNA", at positions 524 to 794 of the family's 1533-position model. The record is from RNAcentral.